Non-coding RNA from Arabidopsis thaliana x Arabidopsis arenosa, 113 nucleotides. The record is from the annotation of a GenBank genome assembly. NCBI's taxonomy places the organism in Eukaryota, Viridiplantae, Streptophyta, Magnoliopsida, Brassicales, Brassicaceae.
CAUAGUGAUGAAUUAUAUCACAAUUGUCACUACCUCUGAGGCAUAUUCUUGGUUUAUUGUUUUUUUUUUUUGUUACCUAUGUUUGAACUUAACUAGUUCUUAGAAGCCUGGUG